RNAcentral lists this ribosomal RNA (207 nucleotides) under uncultured bacterium. Its description in RNAcentral is "partial 16S ribosomal RNA". It matches the Rfam family "Bacterial small subunit ribosomal RNA", at positions 568 to 774 of the family's 1533-position model. The record is from RNAcentral.
CGUGUAGGCGGCUAUUCAAGUCAGGGGUGAAAGGCCUGGGCUCAACCUGGGAACUGCCUUUGAAACUGAAUGGCUUGAGACCGGAAGAGGAUGGCGGAAUUCCCAGUGUAGAGGUGAAAUUCGUAGAUAUUGGGAAGAACACCGGUGGCGAAGGCGGCCAUCUGGUCCGGCUCUGACGCUGAGGCGCGAAAGCGUGGGGAGCAAACA